AUUGAACGCUGGCGGCAGGCCUAACACAUGCAAGUCGAGCGGAUGAAGGGAGCUUGCUCCUGGAUUCAGCGGCGGACGGGUGAGUAAUGCCUAGGAAUCUGCCUGGGAGUGGGGGAUAACGUCGGGAAACGGGCGCUAAUACCGCAUACGUCCUGAGGGAGAAAGAGGGGGAUCUUCGGACCUCACGCUAUCAGAUGAGCCUAGGUCGGAUUAGCUAGUUGGUGGGGUAAAGGCCUACCAAGGCGACGAUCCGUAACUGGUCUGAGAGGAUGAUCAGUCACACUGGAACUGAGACACGGUCCAGACUCCUACGGGAGGCAGCAGUGGGGAAUAUUGGACAAUGGGCGAAAGCCUGAUCCAGCCAUGCCGCGUGUGUGAAGAAGGUCUUCGGAUUGUAAAGCACUUUAAGUUGGGAGGAAGGGCAGUAAGUUAAUACCUUGCUGUUUUGACGUUACCAACAGAAUAAGCACCGGCUAACUUCGUG
This 484-nucleotide ribosomal RNA is filed under the name uncultured bacterium. Its description in RNAcentral is "partial 16S ribosomal RNA". It matches the Rfam family "Bacterial small subunit ribosomal RNA", at positions 30 to 507 of the family's 1533-position model. The record is from RNAcentral.